Molecule: ribosomal RNA, 253 nt
Filed under: uncultured bacterium
Lineage: Bacteria
Description: partial 16S ribosomal RNA
Rfam family: Bacterial small subunit ribosomal RNA
Source: RNAcentral
UACGAAGGGGGCUAGCGUUGCUCGGAAUCACUGGGCGUAAAGCGCACGUAGGCGGCUUUUUAAGUCAGGGGUGAAAUCCUGGAGCUCAACUCCAGAACUGCCUUUGAUACUGAGAAGCUUGAGUCCGGGAGAGGUGAGUGGAAUUGCGAGUGUAGAGGUGAAAUUCGUAGAUAUUCGCAAGAACACCAGUGGCGAAGGCGGCUCACUGGCCCGGUACUGACGCUGAGGUGCGAAAGCGUGGGGAGCAAACAGG